ACGGAAGGCAGCAGUGGGGAAUAUUGCACAAUGGGGGAGACCCUGAUGCAGCGACGCCGCGUGAAGGAAGAAGUAUCUCGGUAUGUAAACUUCUAUCAGCAGGGAAGAUAAUGACGGUACCUGACUAAGAAGCCCCGGCUAACUACGUGCCAGCAGCCGCGGUAAUACGUAGGGGGCAAGCGUUAUCCGGAUUUACUGGGUGUAAAGGGUGCGUAGGUGGUAUGGCAAGUCAGAAGUGAAAACCCGGGGCUCAACCCCGUGGAUUGCUUUUGAAACUGUCAAACUAGAGUACCGGAGAGGUAAGCGGAAUUCCUAGUGUAGCGGUGAAAUGCGUAGAUAUUAGGAGGAACACCAGUGGCGAAGGCGGCUUACUGGACGGUAACUGACACUGAGGCACGAAAGCGUGGGGAGCAAACAGGAUUAGAUACCCUGGUA
This 435-nucleotide ribosomal RNA is filed under the name uncultured Coprococcus sp. RNAcentral's name for it is "partial 16S ribosomal RNA". It matches the Rfam family "Bacterial small subunit ribosomal RNA", at positions 341 to 792 of the family's 1533-position model. Lineage: Bacteria; Bacillati; Bacillota; Clostridia; Lachnospirales; Lachnospiraceae. The record is from RNAcentral.